UUCGGAAUAACAGUUGGAAACGACUGCUAAUACCGGAUGAUGACGUAAGUCCAAAGAUUUAUCGCCGAGGGAUGAGCCCGCGUAGGAUUAGGUAGUUGGUGUGGUAAAGGCGCACCAAGCCGACGAUCCUUAGCUGGUCUGAGAGGAUGAUCAGCCACACUGGGACUGAGACACGGCCCAGACUCCUACGGGAGGCAGCAGUGGGGAAUAUUGGACAAUGGGCGAAAGCCUGAUCCAGCAAUGCCGCGUGAGUGAUGAAGGCCUUAGGGUUGUAAAGCUCUUUUACCCGGGAUGAUAAUGACAGUACCGGGAGAAUAAGCUCCGGCUAACUCCGUGCCAGCAGCCGCGGUAAUACGGAGGGAGCUAGCGUUAUUGGGAAUUACUGGGCGUAAAGCGCACGUAGGCGGCUUUGUAAGUAAGAGGUGAAAGCCCAGAGCUCAACUCUGGAAUUGCCUUUUAGACUGCAUCGCUUGAAUCAUGGAGAGGUCAGU
Molecule: ribosomal RNA, 491 nt
Filed under: uncultured Sphingomonas sp.
Lineage: Bacteria; Pseudomonadati; Pseudomonadota; Alphaproteobacteria; Sphingomonadales; Sphingomonadaceae
Description: bacterial SSU rRNA
Rfam family: Bacterial small subunit ribosomal RNA
Source: RNAcentral